GCACAAGCGGUGGAGCAUGUGGUUAAUUCGACGCAACGCGAAGAACCUUACAGGGCUUGACAUCCCCUGACCGCGUAUGAAAGUACGUUUUCACCCUCGGGUGACAGGGAGACAGGUGGUGCAUGGUUGUCGUCAGCUCGUGUCGUGAGAUGUUGGGUUAAGUCCCGCAACGAGCGCAACCCCUAUUGUUAGUUGCCAUCAUUCAGUUGGGCACUCUAGCGAGACUGCCGGUAAUAAACCGGAGGAAGGUGGGGAUGACGUCAAAUCAUCAUGCCCCUUAUGACCUGGGCUACACACGUGCUACAAUGGUUGGUACAACGAGUUGCGAGUCGGUGACGGCGAGCUAAUCUCUUAAAGCCAAUCUCAGUUCGGAUUGUAGGCUGCAACUCGCCUACAUGAAGUCGGAAUCGCUAGUAAUCGCGGAUCAGCACGCCGCGGUGAAUACGUUCCCGGGCCUU
RNAcentral lists this ribosomal RNA (458 nucleotides) under uncultured Streptococcus sp. RNAcentral's name for it is "bacterial SSU rRNA". It matches the Rfam family "Bacterial small subunit ribosomal RNA", at positions 923 to 1382 of the family's 1533-position model. The record is from RNAcentral. Lineage: Bacteria; Bacillati; Bacillota; Bacilli; Lactobacillales; Streptococcaceae.